CAUAAUCAUUAGUUUUUUAAUUGGAAACUUGUAUGAAUGGUUAAACAAAAGAAUCUCUGUCUCUUUAUCUUGAAUUGAACUUAACUUUUAAGUGAAAAGGCUUAAAUUUUUUAAGGGGACGAUAAGACCCUAUAAAGCUUUAUAAUUAAAUUAAUAUUUUUAAAUAUAAGUUAUAAAGAAAAAAUUAAUUAGUUUAUUUUGUUGGGGCGACAUAUAUAUAAAUAUACCAUAUAACUGUCAUAAUAUAAUACAUAAAUUUAUGAAUCAAAAAUUGAUCCUUAAUUGAAGAUUAAAAGACUAAGUUACUUUAGGGAUAACAGCGUUAUUUCUUUUGAGAGUUCUUAUUGAAAAAGAAGUUUGCGACCUCGAUGUUGAAUUAAAGAAUC
RNAcentral lists this ribosomal RNA (386 nucleotides) under Scyra acutifrons. Its description in RNAcentral is "partial large subunit ribosomal RNA". It matches the Rfam family "Archaeal large subunit ribosomal RNA", at positions 2037 to 2615 of the family's 2987-position model. Lineage: Eukaryota; Metazoa; Arthropoda; Malacostraca; Decapoda; Pisidae. The record is from RNAcentral.